AUUCUCAAUCUCUCCGCCUCCAUUCUCAAUUCUCAAUCUCAAUCUCAAUCUCAAUCUCAAUCUCAAUCUCUUUCGAUGUAGUCUCUAAUUUUAAAAGUUAAAUCUCACAAACUCUAAGCCUCCAAUCCACACCAAAUCCACCCUCGAGCAGUGCUCCAGCCAUCCACGCCGUCUUCAGAAGAAGAUUUAUAAAGUCCAUUCAAAGCUUAUGAGAAAAAUUGUGGGCAAAAAGAUAUGGCCAAAGCUCAUCCCGUGGAAGUAUUGAAGACUUGGAAUGGAUUUAUAUUGUUAUAAUUUGCUGUAGAUUAAUUAGAUAUCACGAAUCUCUAUUUUUAUGUUUUGGCCUAAAUAUUUAUUUUUGUUGGUUGAUGGAUUUGUUAAUUAUGGUAUGGUUUCUUGUGUUAUUUUUCAGUUUUAAGUUUUUAGGUUUAAAAUCUCAUAUAAUUUCGAUUUUCGGUUUA
Long non-coding RNA from Salvia splendens (bonfire salvia), 461 nucleotides. RefSeq lists it as uncharacterized. The record is from RefSeq and is a predicted model, not a curated record. Lineage: Eukaryota; Viridiplantae; Streptophyta; Magnoliopsida; Lamiales; Lamiaceae. The transcript is spliced from 2 exons.